AAAUAAUUCGAUAAGUUUAAAAUGUCUUUUAAUUUAGUUCAUCGAGUUAAUCAAUUCUAACUAAAAUGUUUUUAGUCAAUAGCAAAACAAAGUGGCCAAUAUAAUGCAUAUUUUCACGUUUUUCUUGAAUUAUGCAUGCAUUCAAUCAUGAUUCAUAAGAACAAAUGGGCAAUAGUUAUCCAGUGCUAUACCAGCAAGUAAGCAUGGAAUAGAUCUAUAAUUUAUCUGUUAAGUUUACUUAUACUUACAAAAUAUGAACAUGAUUUGAUCGCACUGGUUUAUGAAUGCAAAACAGGAAUAUGUCUGAUAAGAAGAAGAGAAUAUGAGUUAGUUGCUUACCUGUAUCUCAAUGAGAACGUUGGAAUAAGCGUAAGCAAAGGCAAUGUCACCAAUAGCUUGAAAGGUCCU
Molecule: long non-coding RNA, 408 nt
Filed under: Phaseolus vulgaris (common bean)
Lineage: Eukaryota; Viridiplantae; Streptophyta; Magnoliopsida; Fabales; Fabaceae
Description: long non-coding RNA (PVUL_LNC001149)
Source: RNAcentral